RNAcentral lists this ribosomal RNA (500 nucleotides) under uncultured bacterium. Its description in RNAcentral is "partial 16S ribosomal RNA". It matches the Rfam family "Bacterial small subunit ribosomal RNA", at positions 30 to 523 of the family's 1533-position model. The record is from RNAcentral.
AUUGAACGCUGGCGGCAUGCCUUACACAUGCAAGUCGAACGGCAGCACGGGAGCAAUCCUGGUGGCGAGUGGCGAACGGGUGAGUAAAGUAUCGGAACGUGCCCAGUCGUGGGGGAUAACGUAGCGAAAGUUACGCUAAUACCGCAUACGAUCCAUGGAUGAAAGCGGGGGAUCGCAAGACCUCGCGCGAUUGGAGCGGCCGAUAUCAGAUUAGGUAGUUGGUGGGGUAAAGGCUCACCAAGCCGACGAUCUGUAGCUGGUCUGAGAGGACGACCAGCCACACUGGGACUGAGACACGGCCCAGACUCCUACGGGAGGCAGCAGUGGGGAAUUUUGGACAAUGGGCGCAAGCCUGAUCCAGCCAUGCCGCGUGCAGGAUGAAGGCCUUCGGGUUGUAAACUGCUUUUGUACGGAACGAAAAGGUUUGGCCUAAUACGCUGAACUCAUGACGGUACCGUAAGAAUAAGCACCGGCUAACUACGUGCCAGCCGCCGCUGUAA